AUUCCAGCUCCAAUAGCGUAUAUUAAAGUUGUUGCAGUUAAAAAGCUCGUAGUUGGAUUUGUGGUGUCGCUUGCGGCCUGGUACAUAGUGCCGGUGCUUGCAGGCGACUCCAUCCUUGGGUGGAACCUGUGUGGCAUUAGGUUGUCGUGCAGGGGAUGCCCAUCAUUUACUGUGAAAAAAUUAGAGUGUUCAAAGCAGGCUUAUGCCGUUGAAUAUGUUAGCAUGGAAUAAUAAGAUAGGACCUUGGUACUAUUUUGUUGGUUUGCGCACCAAGGUAAUGAUUAAAAGGGACAGUUGUGGGUAUUCGUAUUCCAUUGUCAGAGGUGAAAUUCUUGGAUUUUUGGAAGACGAACUACUGCGAAAGCAUUUACCAAGGAUGUUUUC
Molecule: ribosomal RNA, 384 nt
Filed under: Tryblionella hungarica
Lineage: Eukaryota; Bacillariophyta; Bacillariophyceae; Bacillariales; Bacillariaceae
Description: SSU rRNA
Rfam family: Eukaryotic small subunit ribosomal RNA
Source: RNAcentral